GAAACCCUGACAACAAAUUAGGCUAAAUCAGCUUUAUGACAUUAUAAACCCAUACAAGCACUGUCAAACACCCAGUGCCUGGGGACAAAUUGAGUUUAAAGCCAACUGGUAUGGGUUGUAACAGUAGACCAGACCUGCAGCCAUGUGGCUGCAUCUUGCCCCAGUCCCUUGGAGGAGUAACUGCAACUUCUUCUUUCUGAAGCGGGGCUGAGGAAAACCAGAGCAGGCUCCAAUUAUCCUAACAUCCCUCUCUGCCACUCCAGGACAGCCUCCUCAGCUUUACAGGCCCAGGAUGGGCAGUCUCCCUGGAACUGCUACUUGCCACCAACAUCCCCAGAGACUGUGACACAGGCUGGAGCCACUCCCAUGGAAACGGAUAAGCAGAGCAGACUGGGCUCACCCACCCUGCUGCCUGGCUUUUCCAUUGCUUAAACUGCAGGGACAGGGGGAAUAUUCUCAAAAGCAUCGUCCCAGGAAGGCUUAGGGCAGCUCACACUCCCUUAUCCUGCUGCCAUUUCAUGCAACCCCAGGCUUCAAAGCUGUGCCAUGGGAAGAGGAGCCACACAAUGGCACCUCUCCUGCAGCUGAACUCUGUUGGGAAAAUCAUGCUAAGUAGGGACCAUUUGCCUCCCACCACCCUUGUGUGUGAAGCACAAGUCCUACAUCCCAUCAGCACGGGGGAGAAGCAGCCGUAGAACAAAGGCUACAUUUUAACUGCUUUGAAACUUCUGUAUGAGGAGAAGGACAUGGAACUGCAUCAUGAUAUAUGGAGCUUCCAUUUCUGGUGGCUGUUAAUGGAGACAUUAAUACCUCUCGUGAAGUUGAAGGGAUCCUGCAUUAAAAUAGACAACAUUCUACAGCUGACAAAAGAAGACUGGGGAAAAUUGGACCCACUUCUGAAUGAGACAGGGGACCUCACUACAUAGAAUAUGGAAAAGGCUGAAGUACUGACUACCAGCUUUGCUCCAGUAUACCCAUAUUUCAAUUCUCUCAAUUUCAACUUCAAUUAAAACAAAGACAUGAACAAAGAAACUUUUAUCUGACCAGGUUUUAAACUCAAGAUUUUAGUCAUCCCCACACAGGGCUUUAUUUUUCCCCUACAGAAAUACUUGAGAUACUCAAAUUUGGAAUUUUUUAUCAUGUUCAGGGCUUACAUCAUCACAUGCAAAGAUUCACACAAAACUAUCAGAGCUAUACAGAAGGUUAACAUGGCUUUUUGCAAAUUAUAUCCCUAACUGCAGAGGAAGAAGAUAUUCUACAAAUACAAUGAGUAAUCAGAUAAACAUCUUUGUGCCCAUGUCUACCACCUGAAAUAAAAAAUGGUGUGUCUUUAUCCAAAGCAACAAGAAAGGGGAAGACGCUCCAUCCUUCAAAGCAACAUUUGUAACAUGAUACUGCUGUCUUUCACUGUCAUUCCUACGCAUGUGUGAAAAAGUCCCUACAAUACGUAUACUGCCACAGUCUACUCUCCAGCCUUCUUCAAUUCCACUAUUGCAUUGCUGUUCUGCACAAAUAAUUUUUAGAGCUGAUAAUCCUCCCAGGCAGCAGUAUUUUAAUUUCCAAUAGUCCCAUGAUGCACUGAGGAGUUACGGCACUGCCUUCCAAGAUGACCAAAAGUUACAGAACCAGAUAAACAGAUGAAUUCAUGUUGAUAAAAAUGCAACUUGGAGAAACAAAGAGACUAAAUCAUAUUUUCUUGUAUAUAAAAUAAAUACCAAAAAGAUACUAAGUUUGUUCUGAGAGAGACCAGAUGCAAAAUGCUUCUGGACUACUGGUACUGCCAACUUCCAGUUAUCAUCAUCUGCCAGUGACGGCUGUGAGGUUGCCAUUAGCCCAAUCCAAGUUCCUUCUCAGACACUGGCUGAUUGCUGAUAACAGUCACUGAAACAAGAGACUUCUGUAUCACAGAAAUAAAAAAGCUUGAAGUGUACAAAGUUCAAACUUACUGCCAUUAACUGCUUUGAUUUUAAAUACUUUGUGUCUUUAUCUGAACACAGCAUAAACAGUUUUUAUCACGUUCUUCCCCUCAGUGGUUAUAUGAGAAUUCUGUAAGCUGUAAGUUGCAAAAUGAGAUAUACAAAACUAAAUAGCUGAAUAACUUGAUAAGUCCUUAUUUUGAAAGCAGAGAACAACCUAAGUUCAAACAUGAAUUGUUUAGAUGAACAAAAUUGGAAUGACCUUACCCUUUUCAUUAAAACCUCCUUAUAUCAGAUGUUUCCAUGAACUGUCAAAUGCCAGAUCAGACAGCCACCCUUGCCGAUGCAGAGCACACUCACACAUCCACAUGGCAUCAAACAGAACAGACAGUUACAACAAUGAACAAACUAUUUUAUUUUUCUUGCUAGAUAAGAACAUCCCACUGAAAAUAAAGAAUAAAAAAUAUAUUCUGCUGUAAGACUCUGAAUGCUUGAAUCUCACGCUACAGCACAUGGAGAAAUUCUGGUACAGCAACAUCACAGUUAUCUUUGUGCACACGGGUGCACAGAAACCCUUGAACAAAUAUUUAUACCCAUUAAUAGUGCCAUGUACAAAAAUGUCACUCCAUAAGACCAAACAGAAAAUUUAAACAUCUUUGUUUUUUUUAUAUGCCAGGGCAAUGUAAAAAAGGAAAACUGUUUACAGUCAAUUACUUCCACCUAAAUUGUAUGAGAUCUUUUUAUGCUGAAGAGCCCAAAAUCAGCAUAGAAGAAGUAGUAUACAAUUAUAUAUAUGUAUAAACAAGACACUGAACACAUGGUGCAUGAUGUUUUCCUUAAUAUGUAAUUUUUGGUGUAACUAUAUGAAGUUAAGUCAUUACUUUUUUAACACCAAGAGAAAAUAUUGUUUCUUCAAUCAAUGCUCUGACCUUUUCUUACUAUAAAGAGCAUGCCUGUAUUAUUCAUCUAAGUAUACAUGCACCACAAAAGAUAUGCAAAACAAAUCGAUACAGAUAAACUUUAGUGUCAAAUGUCUAAUGAUGUAAUAACAAAAACAAUUCUCAGGGCCCAAAUGACUUUCUGAAUUGAAAUUGCAUUGCAGUCACUUAAAAUAACAAAAUGCUUGGACUUGUAGGUCACUACAAGAAAAAUUCACUGUUUUCUAGCAGUACCUCUGCUGAAAUCUGGUAAGUAUCAAUCUAUGGGUAAAGAAAGUAACUUUCAAAAAAGGAAUUUGUAAAAAAUACAUUUAUACUAUACGCUUUCAUAUAAAAAGGCAUUAAGAAAUAUAAUAAAUCCUACCAUUUUAGGACUACACCUUCCCUAACAAACAGUUUUUAUCACUUGACUAUUACAUAUAGUACAUUCAGUAUCCUAAGCAGAAAGUAUAUUUUUUUUGUCCCUGAUGUAUUUUACAACUGGCAGUGACAACAAAAUGUUUUAUUAUCACCACUCAUUCUUGCAGCUUAUACAAACAGCACCAAUUUUACCCAAAAAAAGGUUUAUCAGUUACAUAGUAGCACUUCCUCACAGGAAAUAUAAACCCCAAACAUUGGAACCAAAUGUGUCUUUCCAAAUAUAUAUCAGAAUAUAUGUCUCAGAGUUAAGGGAUGAAUAACCAGGAUUAUUGCAUAGUACAGGGAUCUUGCCUGUAUGAAUAAAGACACCUUUUGAUUGUUUGUCACCUUCUGACUCAAGAACAAAUUAAACAGGUGCUAAUGAAAGUAAUAUACAAGUAAAUGUACUGGUAAAAAAAAAA
Molecule: non-coding RNA, 3675 nt
Organism: Cyanistes caeruleus (blue tit)
Lineage: Eukaryota; Metazoa; Chordata; Aves; Passeriformes; Paridae
Source: RefSeq, a predicted model, not a curated record